CAGGAUUAGAUACCCUGGUAGUCCACACCGUAAACGAUGAAUGCCAGACGUCAGCAAGCAUGMUUGUUGGUGUCACACCUAACGGAUUAAGCAUUCCGCCUGGGGAGUACGGUCGCAAGAUUAAAACUCAAAGGAAUUGACGGGGGCCCGCACAAGCGGUGGAGCAUGUGGUUUAAUUSGACGCAACGCGCAGAACCUUACCAACCCUUGACAUACUUGUCGCGGAUUCCAGAGAUGGAUUCCUUCAGUUCGGCUGGACAAUGUACAGGUGCUGCAUGGCUSUCGUCAGCUCGUGUCGUGAGAUGUUCGGUUAAGUCCGKCAACGAGCGCAACCCACGUCMUUAGUUACCAGCAUUUAGUUGGGUACCCUAAGGAGACUGCCGGUGAUAAGCCGGAGGAAGGUGUGGACGACGUCAAGUCAUCAUGRCCYUUACGGGUUGGGCUACACACGUGCUACAAUGGCAUCUACAGUGAGUUAAUSUCCAAAAGAUGUCUCAGUUCGGAUUGGGGUCUGCAACUCGACCCCAUGAAGUUGGAAUCGCUAGUAAUCGCGGAACAGCAUGMCGCGSUGAAUACGUUCCCGGGCCUUGUACACACYGCCCGUCACACCAUGGGAAUUGGGUCUACCACGAAGGUGGUGCGCCAACUAUU
This 651-nucleotide ribosomal RNA is filed under the name uncultured Rhodobacterales bacterium. Its description in RNAcentral is "bacterial SSU rRNA". Lineage: Bacteria; Pseudomonadati; Pseudomonadota; Alphaproteobacteria; Rhodobacterales. The record is from RNAcentral.